This 1191-nucleotide long non-coding RNA is filed under the name Pan troglodytes (chimpanzee). RNAcentral's name for it is "long non-coding RNA NONPTRT002043". Lineage: Eukaryota; Metazoa; Chordata; Mammalia; Primates; Hominidae. The record is from RNAcentral.
UAAAUUUGCUCUCAGUUCAGGCUGCAAUGCUGGGUCCCGCCCCUUCUUCCGGCUGGGUUCCACUACCUGCAAGGCUGGAACUGACAGCCACUGUGCAAACAAAAAAAGGCAACAAGCAUGCUGGGACCAUUCUGUCUGCUGUUUGGGUCUCACUUGUCCUGACAACUAAAAAUCAUCAGUGGAAAGAAGCUGGAGUCAUCCUAACAAGAGUGAUAGUCUUUCCCCAAGUGAGACCAGGCUGUGCUAUCUGGGGAAAAGCAUCGCUGGCCUUGCCGAGAUGCACCGACGACUCAGCUCACCUAAGGACUUAACCAGUACAGGACUUGCUGCAGCGGAGCCUGAGCUGGAUAUGGAAAGCAAAAGAAGCAAGAUCUCCCUAUGUUGCCAAGGUUGGUCUGGAACUCCUGAGCUCAAGUGAUCCUCCUGCCUCAGCCUCCUAAAGUGUUAGAAUUAUUGAUGUGAGCCACUGCAUGUGGUCAAUUCUGUCAUUCUUGACAACAAGGAUGAAGCUGGGAGAUACUGUGCUGAGUAGAAUAAACCAAGCACAAAAAGACAAAUGCCUCAUGAGCUCACUUAUAUGUAGAAUCUGUAACAGUUGAACUCAUCAGAGAGCAGAAUAAUGGUUACCAGGGACUAGCAGUAGGCUGGAGGGAGAGGUGGGGAGGUGUCGGUGAAAUAAUAUAAAAUUUCAGUUAGAAAAAAUAAGAUUUAAGAGAUCUAUUGCACAACAUGGUGACUAUAGUUAAUAACACUGUAUUGUAUUCUUGAAAAUCACUAAGAUUUGAAUAUUCUCACCACAAAAAAUAAGCAUAUGAGGUAAUGCAUAUGUUAAUGGCUCAAUUUAGCCAUUUCCAAUGAUUAAAUAUUUGAAAGCAGUUAUAUACCAUAAAUGUGUACCUUUUUUAAUUAAAAAAAUUAUUUUUUAGUAGGAUGCUCUGAAAUUGGAACUGAAUAUUACUUAAACCUUGAAGUCUGGGAACAGGGACAUAGUGCUUUUCCAAAACUGCCAGAAAGGUGUCUCUUAAUGCUCUAUGGAUAGAAGUGGCCACCUGUCUUACAGGCUGACGCUGGAGCCCAGCAAAAGUUAUUUUGGUAGACCCUUAUGGUUUAGCAAUGCAAAAAGAGAACCUACUUACUUUCUUUGUAUUAACUCUGGAUACUGAUAAACUAAAUAAAAAUACCUUGGCCAGG